AUGAACGCUGGCGGCGUGCCUAAUACAUGCAAGUCGAGCGAACAGACGAGGAGCUUGCUCCUCUGACGUUAGCGGCGGACGGGUGAGUAACACGUGGAUAACCUACCUAUAAGACUGGGAUAACUUCGGGAAACCGGAGCUAAUACCGGAUAAUAUAUUGAACCGCAUGGUUCAAUAGUGAAAGACGGUUUUGCUGUCACUUAUAGAUGGAUCCGCGCCGCAUUAGCUAGUUGGUAAGGUAACAGCUUACCAAGGCGACGAUGCGUAGCCGACCUGAGAGGGUGAUCGGCCACACUGGAACUGAGACACGGUCCAGACUCCUACGGGAGGCAGCAGUAGGGAAUCUUCCGCAAUGGGCGAAAGCCUGACGGAGCAACGCCGCGUGAGUGAUGAAGGUCUUCGGAUCGUAAAACUCUGUUAUUAGGGAAGAACAAAUGUGUAAGUAACUAUGCACGUCUUGACGGUACCUAAUCAGAAAGCCACGGCUAACUACGUG
RNAcentral lists this ribosomal RNA (496 nucleotides) under uncultured bacterium. RNAcentral describes it as "partial 16S ribosomal RNA". It matches the Rfam family "Bacterial small subunit ribosomal RNA", at positions 29 to 507 of the family's 1533-position model. The record is from RNAcentral.